UAGCGUAUAUUAAAGUUGUUGCAGUUAGAACGCUCGUAGUCGGAUUUCGGGGCAGUCCGACCGGUCUGCCGAUGGGUAUGCACUGGCCGGAGUGUCCUUUUUGCCGGAGACCGUGCCUACUCUUAACUGAGCGGGGGCGGGAGACGGCACUUUUACUUUGAAAAAAUCAGAGUGUUUCAAGCAGGCAGCUCGCUCUUGCAUGGAUUAGCAUGGGAUAAUGAAAUAGGACUUUGGUGCUAUUUUGUUGGUUUCGAACACCGAAGUAAUGAUGAGAAGGGACAGUCAGGGGCACUCGUAUUCCGCAGAGAGAGGUGAAAUUCUCAGACCCGCGGAAGACGAACCACUGCGAAAGCAUUUG
This 358-nucleotide ribosomal RNA is filed under the name Haptophyta environmental samples. Its description in RNAcentral is "SSU rRNA". It matches the Rfam family "Eukaryotic small subunit ribosomal RNA", at positions 595 to 957 of the family's 1831-position model. Lineage: Eukaryota; Haptophyta. The record is from RNAcentral.